RNAcentral lists this unclassified non-coding RNA (546 nucleotides) under uncultured Bordetella sp. RNAcentral describes it as "partial 16S-23S ribosomal RNA intergenic spacer". It matches the Rfam family "Bacterial small subunit ribosomal RNA", at positions 954 to 1499 of the family's 1533-position model. Lineage: Bacteria; Pseudomonadati; Pseudomonadota; Betaproteobacteria; Burkholderiales; Alcaligenaceae. The record is from RNAcentral.
AUGCAACGCGAAAAACCUUACCUACCCUUGACAUGUCUGGAAUCCCGAAGAGAUUUGGGAGUGCUCGCAAGAGAACCGGAACACAGGUGCUGCAUGGUCACGUCAGCUCGUGUCGUGAGAUGUUGGGUUAAGUCCUGCAACGAGCGCAACCCUUGUCAUUAGUUGCUACGAAAGGGCACUCUAAUGAGACUGCCGGUGACAAACCGGAGGAAGGUGGGAUGACGUCAAGUCCCUAUGGCCCUUAUGGGUAGGGCUUCACACGUCAUACAAUGGUCGGGACAGAGGUCGCCAACCCGCGAGGGGAGCCAAUCCUGCAGAAACCCGAUCGUAGUCCGGAUCGCAGUCUGCAACUCGACUGCGUGAAGUCGGAAUCGCUAGUAAUCGCGGAUCAGCAUGUCGCGGUGAAUACGUUCCCGGGUCUUGUACAUGACCGCUCGCUGUCACACCAUGGGAGUGGGUUUUACCAGAAGUAGUUAGCCUAACCGUAAGGAGAGUGGCGAUUACCACGGUAGGAUUCAUGACUGGGGUGAAGUCGUAACAAGGUAA